Molecule: long non-coding RNA, 661 nt
Filed under: Homo sapiens (human)
Lineage: Eukaryota; Metazoa; Chordata; Mammalia; Primates; Hominidae
Description: HSALNT0293337
Source: RNAcentral
AUAAGGACAGAUAAAUUCCAGGCCAGAAAAAUAGAGGGAGUAAAAACACUGACGUAGAAAUGCAUUCAACAUAUUCAGAGACUAAUGAAUGUAUCUGUAUGAAAACUGCAAAGGAUUUGUAGAACAGGUAUAAAAAAAGGAUAGAAAAGUAGGUGAAGGAAGAUGCUAGCCAUUGCAUCUAGCAUAUUGCACCUUCUCAAUCUAUUCUACCUAUGUCUUUGUUAAAGGGAUAGCUCUCGCCGACCUUGUUUGCGGGUGACCCAAACCUGCCCUUCUCCCUUUCUCCACCUCCCUCAUCUGAUUGGAUCAGGAGUGGACACCUCAAAAAACGUGAAUGAAUCAGAUUAUCUGCUCCAGAAACUUGGAACAGGAACAUUGUGAAACUGAGCCACUUAUCUCUGGGAAGCAAAACAGCAAGAACAUGGAGCCAAAGUCAGUGCUGUGGCAAACUAAAGGCAGGUGUAAACUGUAGUUAUUAUGGGAAAGCAGAAGGAAGUGUCCUGCAGAGGAAAUCUAAAUGAAAUGGGAAAUGGAGCCAAACAUACAGAGAAAUACAUGGUAGAAUGUCUAAACGGGUAGUCUCUGGGACUAAGCCACCAGGAAUCAAUCCUAGCUCUUCCUUUAACAAGAAAGGUAAUAUUGAGAAAGUUACUAAACCUCC